Molecule: unclassified non-coding RNA, 333 nt
Filed under: soil metagenome
Description: partial contains 5.8S ribosomal RNA, internal transcribed spacer 2, and large subunit ribosomal RNA
Rfam family: 5.8S ribosomal RNA (bases 1-120)
Source: RNAcentral
GAUGAAGAACGCAGUGAAAUGCGAUAAGUAAUGUGAAUUGCAGAAUUCAGUGAAUCAUCGAAUCUUUGAACGCACAUUGCGCCCGCCAGUAUUCUGGCGGGCAUGCCUGUUCGAGCGUCAUUUCAACCAUCAAGCCCCGGGCUUGUGUUGGGGACCUGCGGCUGCCGCAGGCCCUGAAAUGCAGUGGCGGGCUCGCUGUCACUCCGAGCGUAGUAAUACAUCUCGCUCUGGACGUGCUGCGGGUUCCGGCCGUUAAAAGCCUUAUUUACCCAAGGUUGACCUCGGAUCAGGUAGGAAGACCCGCUGAACUUAAGCAUAUCAAUAAGCGGAGGA